Molecule: ribosomal RNA, 82 nt
Filed under: Pseudomonas syringae pv. actinidiae
Lineage: Bacteria; Pseudomonadati; Pseudomonadota; Gammaproteobacteria; Pseudomonadales; Pseudomonadaceae
Source: RNAcentral
CUUGACGACCAUAGAACAUUGGAACCACCUGAUCCCAUCCCGAACUCAGCAGUGAAACGAUGUAUCGCCGAUGGUAGUGUGG